This 72-nucleotide transfer RNA is filed under the name Patescibacteria group bacterium. RNAcentral's name for it is "tRNA-Gly". It matches the Rfam family "tRNA". Rfam says of the family: Transfer RNA (tRNA) molecules are approximately 80 nucleotides in length. Their secondary structure includes four short double-helical elements and three loops (D, anti-codon, and T loops). Further hydrogen bonds mediate the characteristic L-shaped molecular structure. tRNAs have two regions of fundamental functional importance: the anti-codon, which is responsible for specific mRNA codon recognition, and the 3' end, to which the tRNAs corresponding amino acid is attached (by aminoacyl-tRNA synthetases). tRNAs cope with the degeneracy of the genetic code in two manners: having more than one tRNA (with a specific anti-codon) for a particular amino acid; and 'wobble' base-pairing, i.e. permitting non-standard base-pairing at the 3rd anti-codon position. The record is from RNAcentral.
GCGGGAGUAGUUCAGCGGUAGAAUGUCUGCUUCCCAAGCAGAAGGUCGCGGGUUCAAGUCCCGUCUCCCGCU